RNAcentral lists this long non-coding RNA (798 nucleotides) under Linum usitatissimum (flax). Its description in RNAcentral is "long non-coding RNA (LUSI_LNC003057)". Lineage: Eukaryota; Viridiplantae; Streptophyta; Magnoliopsida; Malpighiales; Linaceae. The record is from RNAcentral.
AUAUGUUUUACUAUCAUUAUGACAUAUGAGUUAUUUAUGUUAGAGUUCGUAUUCAGUUUACUAGUGACUGAUUUAGGGACGAAAUGUACAAAUCCUCUACAAUAGCAUAAAAGCAAAGAACGAAUCUGUAGACAUCCAAAUGCAAAAAUACCACUACACUAAGUGCUACACGUUUAAACUUGUCUCUCAAAUCAACCCAUGGACAAAUCCCAAUCCAAAUAGGUAAAAACAUAAUACCCUGCACGAUCCCAUCCCAAAAAUCACCAUCAUUGGCUACUCCUCCAGCUAACAACGCCCCCUGUAUGUCAGAGAUUAUUGUUAUACAUAUCUAAAGGAAAAGAGAAAAUGGAAGACAACCACAUGUUGACGGAUCUUGCCGGAUCUGAUGAAAGAUUGUCAGAACUUAACGGAUCUUGACAACCACUAAUCACAGCUCGACUGACGGAUGAUUACUCCUCAAACCAUUUGCUUCGAUUUGUCUCCAUGAAUAUUCCUCCUCAACACCAUUUGCUCGUAUUCGAAAUAUAUAAGUAAAACCAGAUCUCAAUAUAAAAAGGGAUCGAAAAAAAGGAAGAAAGGAUGGUGAUGGUAGUGGUGGCGAUACAUACUUGCUUGCAUGUGGUGGUGGCUGCAGUGAUAAUGCACUAGUGCUUCCAUUUCUUGCUUUGCCAGCUGUGGCUGUGCUGAUGGAGCUUAACGAGGCGGAGGAGGUGAUAACGGAGGACUGAGACUGAUUAGGUUUAGAUUUCUUGACGGCGGCAGCAAACAUGGAGGUGGGAUGAACUUAGAGAGAUGAUU